RNAcentral lists this ribosomal RNA (214 nucleotides) under uncultured bacterium. RNAcentral's name for it is "partial 16S ribosomal RNA". It matches the Rfam family "Bacterial small subunit ribosomal RNA", at positions 524 to 737 of the family's 1533-position model. The record is from RNAcentral.
UACAGAGGGUGCGAGCGUUAAUCGGAAUUACUGGGCGUAAAGCGUGCGCAGACGGUCACGUAAGUCGGGUGUGAAAGCCCCGGGCUCAACCUGGGAAUUGCAUUCGAGACUGCGUGGCUAGGGUGCGGAAGAGGGAAGCGGAAUUUCCGGUGUAGCGGUGAAAUGCGUAGAUAUCGGAAGGAACACCAGUGGCGAAAGCGGCUUCCUGGUCCAG